ACUGAACGCUGGCGGCAUGCUUUACACAUGCAAGUCGAACGGUAACAGGUUAAGCUGACGAGUGGCGAACGGGUGAGUAAUGCAUCGGAACGUGCCCGAUCGUGGGGGAUAACGCAGCGAAAGCUGCGCUAAUACCGCAUACGAUCUGAGGAUGAAAGCGGGGGACCGUAAGGCCUCGCGCGAUCGGAGCGGCCGAUGUCAGAUUAGGUAGUUGGUGGGGUAAAGGCUCACCAAGCCAACGAUCUGUAGCUGGUCUGAGAGGACGACCAGCCACACUGGGACUGAGACACGGCCCAGACUCCUACGGGAGGCAGCAGUGGGGAACUUUGGACAAUGGGCGAAAGCCUGAUCCAGCAAUGCCGCGUGCAGGAAGAAGGCCUUCGGGUUGUAAACUGCUUUUGUACGGAGCGAAAAGGCUCUCUCUAAUACAGGGGGCUCAUGACGGUACCGUAAGAAUAAGCACCGGCUAACUACGUGCCAGCCGCCGCGGUAA
This 493-nucleotide ribosomal RNA is filed under the name uncultured bacterium. RNAcentral describes it as "partial 16S ribosomal RNA". It matches the Rfam family "Bacterial small subunit ribosomal RNA", at positions 30 to 523 of the family's 1533-position model. The record is from RNAcentral.